RNAcentral lists this ribosomal RNA (465 nucleotides) under uncultured bacterium. RNAcentral describes it as "partial 16S ribosomal RNA". It matches the Rfam family "Bacterial small subunit ribosomal RNA", at positions 28 to 507 of the family's 1533-position model. The record is from RNAcentral.
GACGAACGCUGGCGGCGUGCUUAACACAUGCAAGUCGAACGGAAAGGCCCCUUUGGGGGUACUCGAGUGGCGAACGGGUGAGUAACACGGGAGUAACUUGCCCAUGAAUUCGGAAUAACUUCAGGAAACUGGGGAAAAUACCGGAUAGGAAUGCUUGCUACAGGGGUGGGGUUGGAAAGCUUCGGGGGUUUUGGAGGGACGCGAGGCUUAUCAGCUUGUUUGUGGGGUAGUGGGUUACCAAGGCUUUGACGGGGAGCCGGCCUGAGAGGGCGAACGGGCACAUUGGGACUGAGACAAGGGCCAGACGCAGACAGGAGGCAGCAGUGGUGAAGAUUGCACUAUGGGAGGAAGCCUGAUUCAGCAAUGCCGCGUGCGGGAGUAGGGCAUUCGGGUUGUAAGCCGCUUUCAGCAGGGGCGAAGAUUGUGUUGACGGUACCUGAAGAAGAAGCACCGGCUAACUCCGUG